RNAcentral lists this transfer RNA (87 nucleotides) under bacterium. RNAcentral's name for it is "tRNA-Leu". It matches the Rfam family "tRNA". From Rfam's summary of the family: Transfer RNA (tRNA) molecules are approximately 80 nucleotides in length. Their secondary structure includes four short double-helical elements and three loops (D, anti-codon, and T loops). The record is from RNAcentral.
GCGCGAGUGGCGUAACUGGUAGCCGCGCAGCCUUGAGGGGGCUGUGGGAGUAUUCCCGUGGAGGUUCAAGUCCUCUCUCGCGCACCA